RNAcentral lists this transfer RNA (73 nucleotides) under Chromatiales bacterium. RNAcentral describes it as "tRNA-Met". The stretch from base 15 to 67 matches the Rfam family "tRNA", at positions 10 to 63 of the family's 71-position model. From Rfam's summary of the family: Transfer RNA (tRNA) molecules are approximately 80 nucleotides in length. Their secondary structure includes four short double-helical elements and three loops (D, anti-codon, and T loops). Lineage: Bacteria; Pseudomonadati; Pseudomonadota; Gammaproteobacteria; Chromatiales. The record is from RNAcentral.
AAGCUGGCCUUGACGAGUUGGUAGCUCGUCGGGCUCAUAACCCGAAGGUCGUUGGUUCGAGUCCAACUCCCGC